GAAUGUGAGGGCAAUCUAGCUGUGACAUCUGUCACCCCAUUGAUAGCCAGCAUUGAUUAGGCUGAUCGGUCUGGCUAAACGGGUGUCUCCUCCCUCCCUCACUGCUCCAUGUGCGUCCCUCCUGAAACUGCGCACUUGGUGGAAGAGGACAACGUCCCAGGAGUGUGCCAAGAUCACCAAUCUUGAGUCCUGGAUAUACAAUC
This 203-nucleotide small nuclear RNA is filed under the name Anolis carolinensis (green anole). Its description in RNAcentral is "7SK RNA". It matches the Rfam family "7SK RNA", at positions 1 to 199 of the family's 331-position model. Rfam says of the family: 7SK was discovered as an abundant small nuclear RNA in the mid-70s but a possible function has only recently been suggested. Two independent studies have found that 7SK RNA binds the CDK9/cyclin T complex (known as elongation factor P-TEFb). P-TEFb activates transcription by phosphorylating the C-terminal domain of RNA polymerase II. The record is from Rfam by way of RNAcentral. Lineage: Eukaryota; Metazoa; Chordata; Lepidosauria; Squamata; Anolidae.